RNAcentral lists this ribosomal RNA (401 nucleotides) under uncultured bacterium. RNAcentral's name for it is "bacterial SSU rRNA". It matches the Rfam family "Bacterial small subunit ribosomal RNA", at positions 917 to 1341 of the family's 1533-position model. The record is from RNAcentral.
GGGCUUACACAAGCGGUGGAGCAUGUGGUUUAAUUCGACACAACGCGCAAAACCUUACCAAUUUUUGACAUAGAAAAGAAUGCAUAUUUUUGUGCUUUUUAUUUUCUACAGGUGCUGCAUGGCUGUCGUCAGUUCGUGGCGUGAGCUGUUGGGUUAAGUCCUAGAACGAACGCAACCCUCGGGUUCUUUGCUUUGAAUCAUUGAACUAACUGCCUUUGAGAUAAAGGAGGAAGGAGAGGAUGACGUCAAGUCCGCAUGGCCCUUAUGAAUUGGGCUACACACGUGCUACAAUGAUGAUGCCAAAAAGAUGCAAUUUGGUCACAAGGAGCAACCCUUUAAACAUCAUCUUAGUGCAGAUUGGUCUCUGCAACUCGAGACCAUGAAGUCGGAAUCGCUAGUAA